Molecule: ribosomal RNA, 254 nt
Filed under: uncultured bacterium
Lineage: Bacteria
Description: partial 16S ribosomal RNA
Rfam family: Bacterial small subunit ribosomal RNA
Source: RNAcentral
UACGGGGGGAGCAAGCGUUGUUCGGAUUUACUGGGCGUAAAGGGCGCGUAGGCGGUCAGCACAAGUCAGUUGUGAAAUCUCCGGGCUUAACUCGGAAAGGUCAACUGAUACUGUGCGACUAGAGUGCGGAAGGGGCAACUGGAAUUCUCGGUGUAGCGGUGAAAUGCGUAGAUAUCGAGAGGAACACCAGUGGCGAAGGCGACUACCUGGCCUGUUCUUGACGCUGAGGCGCGAAAGCUGGGGGAGCAAACGGG